CGGGGCGUAGCGCAGUUUGGGAGCGCGCAACGUUCGGGACGUUGAGGUCGGAGGUUCAAAUCCUCUCGCCCCGACCA
RNAcentral lists this transfer RNA (77 nucleotides) under Candidatus Auribacterota bacterium. Its description in RNAcentral is "tRNA-Pro". It matches the Rfam family "tRNA". Rfam says of the family: Transfer RNA (tRNA) molecules are approximately 80 nucleotides in length. Their secondary structure includes four short double-helical elements and three loops (D, anti-codon, and T loops). The record is from RNAcentral. RNAcentral also lists the same sequence under 1 other name. Lineage: Bacteria; Pseudomonadati; Candidatus Auribacterota.